CAUGCACUAGUGGGGUCCCUCGGCCUGGCCUGCAUGCUUUUGCAAUCCGGGACCCCUCAGUGGAUGUCGGACUGCCAGUUUCGGCCCGAUCCCCGCAGGCCAGGCUGAGGGACCCCACUGGUGCACA
RNAcentral lists this microRNA precursor (127 nucleotides) under Myotis brandtii (Brandt's bat). Its description in RNAcentral is "mir-9193 microRNA precursor family". It matches the Rfam family "mir-9193 microRNA precursor family". The record is from Rfam by way of RNAcentral. Lineage: Eukaryota; Metazoa; Chordata; Mammalia; Chiroptera; Vespertilionidae.